UCCAGGUUAUCCCUGGCGGUCUCCUGAGAGUGCAUCCUUGCGGAUUAGCAACACACGCCAGAGGUUGCGCUCGUUGCGGGACUUAACCCAACAUCUCACGACACGAGCUGACGACAGUCAUGCACCACCUGUACACCUGCCCCGAAGGGCUGCCGUAUUUCUACGACAUUCAGGUGCAUGUCAAGCCCUGGUAAGGUUCUUCGCGUUGCGUCGAAUUAAACCACAUGCUCCGCCGCUUGUGCGGGCCCCCGUCAAUUCCUUUGAGUUUUAGCCUUGCGGCCGUACUCCCCAGGCGGGGCACUUAAUGCGUUAGCUACGGCGCGGAAAACGUGGAAUGUCCCCCACACCUAGUGCCCAACGUUUACGGCAUGGACUAC
This 377-nucleotide unclassified non-coding RNA is filed under the name uncultured Actinomycetes bacterium. RNAcentral's name for it is "uncultured actinobacterium contains 16S-23S intergenic spacer region". Lineage: Bacteria; Bacillati; Actinomycetota; Actinomycetes. The record is from RNAcentral.